GAUCAUGGCUCAGGAUGAACGCUGGCGGCGCGCCUAACACAUGCAAGUCGAACGGCACCCCUCUCCGGAGGGAAGCGAGUGGCGAACGGCUGGGUAACACGUGGAGAACCUGCCCCCUCCCCCGGGAUAGCCGCCCGAAAGGACGGGUAAUACCGGAUACCCCGGGGUGCCGCAUGGCACCCCGGCUAAAGCCCCGACGGGAGGGGAUGGCUCCGCGGCCCAUCAGGUAGACGGCGGGGUGACGGCCCACCGUGCCGACAACGGGUAGCCGGGUUGAG
Molecule: ribosomal RNA, 278 nt
Filed under: uncultured bacterium
Lineage: Bacteria
Description: partial 16S ribosomal RNA
Rfam family: Bacterial small subunit ribosomal RNA
Source: RNAcentral